AGCAGCUCCUGAAAGCGGAGCGUCCACUGAGCGGCGCCGCAGCCCGCAACUUCCAUCAGCAGCCAGCCGGCGUUUCCUCCCUGCAACACGCUGCAGGCCAAUCCGCUCCCUCACUCCGUGUUGGGUUACAAUGACAAGGGCCCUGUCUGAACCACGACUUUUAGAAAGAUAAUAUAACAGGCCCACAGCUGAUCCAUUUCCCGGUACACAAUUGAGACGGAGGAGGUUAAAGCACUCUGAACGCACGGGACCAUAUUGCAGAGCUGAGAUGCGACACCUUCCAGACGGUGUUUGUGCCUGUGGCAGGGUCUUGGUCUUUUGUUCUCUCCUGCGCCCUCAUCUGCACCACAAGAUGACCUCAGACAGCGUCUCACAGCACUCCUCCAUGUUCUCCUCCAUCUGCCUCCUGUCCAUUGAUCAGCCUUCCAGGGCAUCAGUCUGUUUAACAUCUGCUACAAGUUCCAGCAGCUCAGAUGCGCAGACACUGUAAUGAAGAGCUCUUGAACUCACAGUCAGAGAAGCUGUGACAGGAGUUCAGGAGGAUGCCUCUGCUGGACAUGCAAUACACACCGAGGGACCUCCACAGUGGAUGAAAUUUAGCCCCGACCUCUGACCUUUUGGGUUCAGCGUUUGUCUCCAGUCCAAUGACCACAAACAACUCCUGGAUUGCUGUAAAUGUCAGUGCAGAGGUGUCUCCGCCCUCUCCCCUGUGAACCAUAGGGCUGCACUCAACCUGCACUAAUAGGACACUUUCAUGAGAGCUCCAUUAUCAGUUAUGCUGUAUUUCAUAACUCAUAUUUCCUCCUUAUGAUGCCUCUAUAAAUUGUCAUCAACUGUAAACGACUGUCAUCAAACAAACAGCAAUGAGGGUCUGUGUUGUAACUUUCUUUUUUUCAGCUCCCUUAAAUCUUAAAUUUGGCAGUUUAAGGCCAGUCAUAUAAUGCUAAAAUAGGAAUAUUUGAAAUGAUUGACAUCAUUAGGAAAUGUAGGAUUUUAGAUGCAAAAAAAAAAUAUUGCAUAAAGAGUGCAGGAUGGAAAAAAACCCAUUUAGCACACACAAAUCAGCUGGUAGCAUACAGUAUAUCAUAAGGCCCAGUUAUAUUGAAUUGUAAUUCAUGUUCUGAAGACACUGGUUGUAAUGCACCCAUUUUAAAGCACAUUGGUUUGCCCUUCCCCCACACAUAAAGACACACGCUCCCUUUCUCUCCUCUCCGGGCCUCCCGAGGUUGGUGUCUCUGCGUUAGGACUCUAUUGUUGCCUACUGCUGGAUAAUGCCCUUAUUAAUUGUACCUCUUUGUAAAGUGUCAGCUGUAGCCUCAGAUUGAGAUGGAUGGAUCUCUGGAGUCUGCUCUCUGGCCCUCCACAGACGCUCUAUCUCUGCAUAGCACACAGAUGCAGCAGUGAGUGCCGCCACACCAUGACUAAAAGCUGAGAUAAAACAGGUAUGUUUUGAUUAUUCCACCAAUAAAAAAGAAACCUGUUUCCAAACUGAAAAACACAUUUCUGUCAUUGCUAAGGUGAGCUAGCAUGUGAUGUGUCUUAAUUAUCUGAAUAUCUGAGCAUACACUCUAUAGCAGUGAUGAAAUAUCUUUUUUUAUUGAUUAUUUUAGUGUGUUGCCGAAAUACUGGUUAAUUAGGUGGAUUGAAGCCUCCGUGAGAUCAACAGCAUUAACAUCAAAUCCUUUCCUUCUCAUUAAAGGAAACAGAGUCAAUUUAAUUAAUGCAUAUUAAUCCCCACUGAUGCUCAUUUUAGCUUUAAAAAAGAUGGCAGUGGGAGCUUCACAUUCAUCCUUUUAAAAACAAAAUAUUGCAGGUUUGAUCACUCUCUGAAACAACAUAUAGAAUAGCAUGAUAGCAUUCGUUAUAAUCUUUAGAUCCAUUAUCUAAAUUGAAUGUAAGGGCAUUACCUGUACGCAUGAUGACCAGUUUUGGGGGGUUUAUUUAUUGAUGGUAGUUGGUUUCAGGCAAUAAUUCAAUAAUUAGUUUAAUUUUCAUGCAGUGUAAUCAUAUAAAUAAUAAAAAUUCUCAGAGAUAUUAUGGCUUACAGUUCUUGUGUCUAAAAUAAAAUUUCCAGCCUUAUGUAAUUGGGAACAUACAGUAUACUAUAUAAGUAUAGAAUGUAAUACAUUCACCUUAAUGGGAAAAAUACAAGCGUAACGUUUAAUAUAAUACACCAAUAUCAAGAUAAUGCUGCGAUAUUAAUAUUAAUUUUGUCCAUAUCACACCCCCCCAGCAACUCUUCCACUGAUAUUGACUGGCUUCAUUUCUUGUUUAAAAAGCUGUUUGAAAGCUCUCUUAACACAGCUUUAUGAAUGUCAGUGGAUGCCACUUUAACCAACCCAGUCAUGAUCAGACAGCUAACCAGGGUUGUUGAAGUUAGAAUAAUGACUUGAUCUAAGCCCCUCUGACAACGUGUUAGAGUAAGUUCCCAGAACAAACCAGCUACAGCACACUUUUC
This is a long non-coding RNA of Etheostoma spectabile (orangethroat darter), 2458 nucleotides long. RefSeq lists it as uncharacterized. Lineage: Eukaryota; Metazoa; Chordata; Actinopteri; Perciformes; Percidae. The record is from RefSeq and is a predicted model, not a curated record. The transcript is spliced from 7 exons.